This 29509-nucleotide long non-coding RNA is filed under the name Populus trichocarpa (black cottonwood). RNAcentral describes it as "long non-coding RNA (PTRI_LNC004485)". Lineage: Eukaryota; Viridiplantae; Streptophyta; Magnoliopsida; Malpighiales; Salicaceae. The record is from RNAcentral.
ACAUAUCUUCGGGCUUAUUUCUCACUGCUGCAAGUGAUAACCUUCCUUGGACUUCACCAUCUGGGGAAUUUGCUUUUGGAUUCCAACAAGUUGGUGAUGCUGGCUACCUACUUGCCAUAUGGUUCAACAAAAUACCCGAAAGAACCAUAGUCUGGUCAGCUAAUAGAAAUGAUCCAGUUCAGGGGGGAUCAAGAGUACAACUUACCAGAGAUGGAGAGUUGGUUCUAAAUGAUCAAUCAGGCAGAACAAUAUGGAGUCCAGUUUUUGGUGGAAGUGGAGCCGCCUAUGCAGCCAUGCUUGACACAGGAAACUUCGUGCUAGCAAGCCAAGCUGGUGCCAAUUUGUGGCAGAGUUUUGAUGAACCAACAGACACACUGUUGCCCACACAAAAUCUGAAUUUAGGUGCUCAACUAAUUGCUCCCUACCUGGAAAAGAAUUAUUCAGAUGGAAGAUUCAAGUUCAUUCUACAAGCUGACAGCAAUCUCGGACUGUACACAACACGUUAUCCAACAACUACCUCAAAUGUUGCUUAUUGGUCUCCCCAAAGUUCUACUGGAAGCGGUUAUAGGGUGAUCUUUAACCAGUCUGGCUAUAUGUACCUCGCAGACCAAAAUGGCAAUACGCUUAAUUCGGUAUUCUCUAAUUCAGUAUCAAUGCAAGAUUUCUACUUGAGGGCAACCCUGGACUAUGAUGGAGUUUUUAGGCAAUAUGCUUAUCCAAAGACUGCUUCCAGUAGCACAAGGUGGGCUAUGGCCUGGACGACUUUGCCAAACUUCAUACCCUCAAAUAUCUGCGUGGUAAUUAGGGGACCAGUAGGCAGUGGAGCUUGCGGUUUCAACAGCUAUUGCAUAUUAGGAGAUGACCAAAGACCAAGAUGCAAGUGUCCUCCUGGUUACACUUUCUUUGAUCCAAAUGAUGAGAGGAAGGGAUGCAAGAAAAACUUUAUUUCACAGGAUUGUGACCAUCCAUCGCAAGAAAUAGAUAACUUUAUGAUCUGGGAUAUGCUUAACACAAACUUUCCAUUUACUGAUUAUGAAGAUUUUUUUUCAGUGGACGAGGAUUGGUGCAGACAAGCUUGCUUGAGUGACUGCUAUUGUGCUGUUGCCACUUAUAACAGUGGACACUGUUGGAAGAAGAGAGGCCCUCUCUCGAAUGGGGUAACAGAUCCAAGUAUUGGUGAUAAAGCCCUGAUGAAAGUAAGGAAAGGCAACCGGACUGCAGGUUCAAGUGCAAAGAAGAGUGAUCGAUCAAUUUUGAUCACAACAGGAUCGGUGCUUUUAGGUAGCUCCAUCUUUCUAAUUGUUCUUUCUCUGCUAGGAAUCUACGUGUUCUUUACUCGAUGGAACCAACAAAAACAAAAGAUGGUACCGCAACUCCAUGUCAUGCCAGAAAUGAAUCUGCAGAAUUUUACUUACAAUGAGCUGGAAACAGCUACAGGAGGAUUCAAGGAAGAACUCGGUAGGGGUGCUUUUGGAAUUGUUUACAGAGGGGCACUAGCCAACGAAGACAAACCGCUCAUCGCAGUAAAGAAAUUAGAAAAGAUGGCCGGGGAGGGCGACACAGAAUUCAAUACAGAAGUGAAAGUUAUUGGCAGAACAAAUCACAAGAAUCUGGUUCAACUUGUUGGAUUCUGUAACGAAGGGGAAAAUCGCCUUCUGGUCUACGAGUACAUGAGCAGUGGCUCCUUGUCAAACUACAUAUUUGGAUAUACAAGGCCUAGUUGGCACCGAAGAAUGCAAAUUGCUUUCGGUGUAGCCAGAGGGCUACUUUACCUCCAUGAAGAAUGCAGCUCCCAGAUAAUCCAUUGUGAUAUCAAGCCUCAAAAUAUCCUCCUCGACGAAUCUCUUAACGCCAGGAUUUCAGAUUUCGGACUAGCCAAGCUGUUGAAGACGGACCAAACCAAAACAACGACAGGAAUCAGGGGGACGAAAGGGUAUGUUGUUGGGGAAUCCGACCGGUGAUGUUCUGAUAUUUGCUCAAUGGAGGCUAAAGGACACUGACACAAUAUUUAACGUGGUUCGGCAAAUCCGCCUACAUCCACGGGAGAGGUCCAUUUUAUUAGAUAUAGAGAUACAUGGAAGAAGAUUACAUCUGCUGCAAUGGCAGCAAGGCUGCUGCCAUUGCAGCUCUCUCUUUUCUCUCUAUUCUCACGUUCUCUCUCUCAGCCUUCUCUUCACUCUCACUUUGCUCUCAAAUAAUUGCCUCUUUUAUAGGCAUUUUAUGGUGAGACAAGAUCCACAAAAUGAGGCACUAAUUAUGCUCCACUAUCUACCAAGUGGGAGUGGGGUAUUUGCCACAAUAAUGGCAAUUUCCUAACAAUCACCCCCUUUGCCAUUUGUGGCAAUUGUCCUCUUACUUCUUCAGCACAAGCUUGCAUUCUGCAGCUCUUCCAAGCUUACCAUUCUGAGAGCGUCUUCAACACAACAUUCCCCUUCGAGCGUAUCAACCAUGCUCGGUCCGGAAUGAUUUUUUCAAGCCUUACACCAAGGCUUACAACACCCCCUCAAACGAAUAUUUCCAAGUGUGACAGUCAUUGAGUAUUUCAAUGUGAUCACAAGCUCACCACUCUUCCAAGAGUCUACUCAUCCAGGAGUUGCGCCUGCCCUCUGUUCCACCCUAGGAACCACGCCUUACUUCUCCGUGAGUCUCUCGCUCUUAGUCGUAAGAGUCCAGGUAGCUCUCCACCUUUAACCAUGGGGGCAGCCCAUUAAAGGUUGAUCCAUAUCUGUCUUCAUACUCUGAGUAUUACAAUGCCAUUACCGAGCUCACCACCUUGACAAGAGUUAACUCGUUCUCGGAACCUGCGCAUGCCCUUCUGCUUCUUCAUAGCAGCCGCGUCUUAAUGCUCCACAAGUCACACACUUAUUGUCCAAGGCAAAUGUCUUCUAGCUCAUUGAUCUUUAGCAUGGGGGCAAUAUCUAUGAAAGUCAAUCAUGCAUUUGUCUUCAUACUCAUCAUAGCCAUUUCAUUGGCUAUACACCUGUCCACUCAUAUCUAGCCAUUACAUUGGCUCUGGGGCGUUCUGAACUGGGCUCAAAUCGUGGCCCACACACCUUCUCCUUAGGUGUCUCCGCUCGUCACCAUACGGCGGUCUGAACUGGGGCUUCUAUCACGACCCUCACACCUUCUCUAAGGUGUCUUCGCCCGUUGUCAUGGGGCGGUCUGAUCCGGGCUCCUAUCAUGGCCCUCACACACCUUCUAUCUAAGGUGUCUUCGCCCGUUGUCAUGGGGCGGUCGCAUCCUCUUUCAGCUGAGAUGCUUCAAAGUGGCUCCAAAAUUUUCUACCACCAUGUGCACUAUGGGAGAUCACUGCCACUGAUUACAUAGAAAGAUAAACUUGCGGUAUACUCCUCGCAAUCCUCCACCUCGAUUUCUAUGUUUGGAGCUUCUACGCCUUUCUGCUUGACAGCUCCACCUACACCAACUCUCUUUGGUGUCAUCGCCUUUCAUCAUAGGCGGUCGCCUUUUAUCACAGGCGUUUGCACCCCCUCAAUUAGGUGCUUCUACAACAGCUCUCUUUCCAUCCUUGCAUGCAUUGGAAAGGUCUUCGCCUGUUGUCUUCAUUAAGAGCAUAAGAGACUUCCUGUUGUACAAACUUUAACAGUCUCUGCUCUGAGCUUCAUCUGGGAACACUUCUUCUCCUUGCACCUGUUGUCUCAUUACAGCACCUCGUUGGAUCCUACGGGUACUCAUGCACAAUCUCCUUGUGCCCUCGUGCAAUUUCUGUUCUCCAGAUUUUUCCCCUAUUCCUUGCUUAUGUUUGACAGCAGCUCAUCCUGUCACCACAUCUAUCCAAGUCAAAAUAGGGUGCCAAUCUUUAUCCCUUGCCGUAUUUCUCUACCAUUAUCAGGGUCUUCAUCAAUUCUCCCCUCGAGAAAUCACAGUCACCGAAUCUAACUUCUUUGGAGAAAUCACCAUUUCAUCAGAUCCUUGAUCAUACGGAACCCAACUGUUCCCUUGUGCCGUCGUCUUGCUAGUCUUCCACCGUUUCAUUACAAACUGCUAUAUAUACGAAAAUAGUACCGUAUGGAUAAUCCUUCCACUAAGCAAGUUCCUAGGAAAGAUUGGAGGGGUCACACUGGUCCCGCUUAAAACCCAAUCUCCUAGCCAGAACUUCUUAGGCCAUAUCUAUCCAUCGUACUGUCUUUCCGUAUAUACAACCAUUUGCUAGCUUUGUUGCGGCUUUCCUUUACAAGUGAUCUGGAAUAUACUAGUUUAAUACAUGAUUUCUCAACAUCUGGCGAGACUACCAGUUCUUAGAUUCGUUAAGAUUGGUCUUCAUCAAUUUCCACUCUUCACCUCAAAUUGUCCACUUGAUCGGGUGUCCAGAGUGUCCCAAUUUUGCCUUCCCUCAAGGCAGUUAAAUUUCUCCCCACUUAGCAGUUCAGCACAUGUAAUUGGGUAAACAUGUGCACCUUCUUCUUCUUCUCUUCAACGACCACCAUAAUGACCUUCAGAUGCCUCCUGAUCGGGCAAUCUCUUUUGUUAAUUAACCACCGCCAUUUUUGGUCUCAAAUCUCAACGAUCGGACCGUACCAUUGCAUCCGGAACGAUCAAAUUAGCUGGAAACAAGUCUGAAAUCGUCCAAAUCGCACUUCAGACGGCUACGAUUUGAUCAAAACAAUUCUGGCCUGAUGAGCGGCCCAGAUUUAAUCUCAGAUCCGGUUGUACGUAGACUCUGCUGCACAGAAUCAUUUCCCUCGGCUCGCGGCUCGGCUCCAACACGGCUCGGCUCAACUCGGCUCGAGGCUGAUGAUGUGGCAGGUGGGUCCCACUUUGCUGACGUGUCUGCUGACUGAUCGAUGACGUGUCUAAUGACCUGGCAUGCCUACUGUGUACGCUGACAUCACAAUUACAUCAUGCUGAUGUCAUCCCUGGCAUGCCUACUGUGCAUGCUGACAUCACAAUUAUGCCAUGCUGACGUCAUUCAUAUCCGGGUCAGCCAUGUGGGUCGGGUCAACUGGUAUUCGGGUCGGGUCAGCCCAUCCGGGCGAAGAAGACGCGUGUCACGCGUGGGGCGCGUGGGCAGACGCCCUGCCGGAGAGUGAUGGAGAGUGCGGCCAUGUCCGACGUCCGAUUUUGACGCCGUUUUCACCAGUGGCUUCGUCUCGGCCUCCUCUACACAGUGGUAUGGUCAAAACACCAUUUUGAGAACUUUCAUUUUUGAGCAAAAAUCAAACACCCCUUUAAACCAUGUGCUCUGAUACCAAUUGUUGGGGAAUCCGACCGGUGAUGUUCUGAUAUUUGCUCAAUGGAGGCUAAAGGACACUGACACAAUAUUUAACGUGGUUCGGCAAAUCCGCCUACAUCCACGGGAGAGGUCCAUUUUAUUAGAUAUAGAGAUACAUGGAAGAAGAUUACAUCUGCUGCAAUGGCAGCAAGGCUGCUGCCAUUGCAGCUCUCUCUUUUCUCUCUAUUCUCACGUUCUCUCUCUCAGCCUUCUCUUCACUCUCACUUUGCUCUCAAAUAAUUGCCUCUUUUAUAGGCAUUUUAUGGUGAGACAAGAUCCACAAAAUGAGGCACUAAUUAUGCUCCACUAUCUACCAAGUGGGAGUGGGGUAUUUGCCACAAUAAUGGCAAUUUCCUAACAUAUGUAGCUCCUGAAUGGUUCAAGAACCUGCCUGUCACAACCAAAGUAGAUACCUACAGCUUUGGCAUUCUCUUGCUGGAGCUAGUUUGCUGCAGAAAGAACUUUGAGAUUAAUGCAAUGCAAGAACAUCAGAUAGUUCUUGCAGACUGGGCAUGUGAUUGCCUUAAAGAAGGAAAGUUGAACCUUUUAGUAGAAGAAGAUGAAGAGGCAAUGGAAGACAUGAAAAGGGUAGAGAGGUUUGUGAUGGUUGCAAUUUGGUGCAUUCAGGAAGAUCCAUCUUUAAGACCUGGAAUGAAGAAAGUUGUGCAGAUGUUAGAAGGAGGUGUUCAAGUCUCUGUUCCUCCUGAUCCUUCAUCAUUUAUCAGCACAAUCUAAAUCUUUUUGAACACACACACAUGUGUGUGUGUGUGUGUCCAGAAACUAAGGCCAAUGAAUGUUACCUAUCUACCUUGCAUUGAAUAAUCUGUAGUUCCUAUCAUGUGUUAGAUCUUGUACAAUAAGGCUUAAAACGCAUGCUUUCAAUUAUUAUUUUUUCUUUUCAUGUUCACGAGUAAUAAGUAAAAUAAAAGAUUUAAAAUGAAUAUAAAGGCAAAUCGUAUAUAAUUAUUAGAUUUUUUUAUUAAUGUCACGGGGCUUUUUUAUUAAGUUGAUUAAAUCCGACCAAGUUAAUUUUAAUUAGUUUAUUUUAAAAACUAACCAGAGUUUAGUUUUGGGUUGGCAAAUAAAUGCAUUGACCGGAAAAAUUCGAUAUUAGUUAAAAUUUAUUUAUCAAAAAAAAAAAUCAUAAAGACAACAAGAAAGUCUUUGCCAUAGGCGGAAGGUUUUUAACAUUAGUUUAUUCUCAAUGCAUGAAAAAAAGAUUCGAAAUUAGUUGAAACCUCUUUAUCACAAGGUAAAAAUCACAAUAACAUAAAGAAAGUCUUUGUCAUGCCUGUUUGGAAAUGCAAUCCAACCUGUUUUUAUAAAAAAAUAAUUUUUUUUAAAAUAAUUUUUUUUAGUAUUUUUAAAUUACUUUAAUGCACUAAUAUUAAAAAUAAUUUAUUUUUUUAAAUAAAAAAAAUAUAAUUUUAAUAUACUUUUAAAUAAAAAAUAAUUUAUAUAAUAACAGCUACUAUAAUUUUAAAUAUAACCACGCGGAUAGUUGGAGAAUCAUAUUUUCUUCCGAAGGCAAUACCAAUAACUCGAGCAUAAAUAGAGAAGAGGACCUGUGCCCUAAAUCAUGCAAGGUCUUCAAAUACAGUAUCUUCACAUCAUGGAUUUUCAACUACCAUAUUGUUUUUUCUUCCUUGUUCUUCUGCUGCUGCCAUUUUCUGGCAAUGGUCAGGCUCACAGCAACAUAUCUUCGGGCUUAUUUCUCACUGCUGCAAGUGAUAACCUUCCUUGGACUUCACCAUCUGGGGAAUUUGCUUUUGGAUUCCAACAAGUUGGUGAUGCUGGCUACCUACUUGCCAUAUGGUUCAACAAAAUACCCGAAAGAACCAUAGUCUGGUCAGCUAACAGAAAUGAUCUAGUUCAGGGGGGAUCAAGAGUACAACUUACCAGAGAUGGAGAGUUGGUUCUAAAUGAUCAAUCAGGCAGAACAAUAUGGAGUCCAGUUUUUGGUGGAAGUGGAGCCGCCUAUGCAGCCAUGCUUGACACAGGAAACUUCGUGCUAGCAAGCCAAGCUGAUGCUAAUUUGUGGCAGAGUUUUGAUGAACCAACAGAUACCCUGUUGCCCUCACAAAAUCUGAAUUCGGGUGCUCAACUUAUUGCUCCCUACCUGGAAAAGAAUUAUUCAGAAGGAAGAUACAAGUUCAUUCUACAAGCUGAUGGGAAUCUCAUCUUGUACACCACACACUAUCCGUUAACUACCUCGAAUUUUGCUUAUUGGUCAACCCAAAGUUCUAUAGGUAGCGGUUAUCAGGUGAUCUUUAACCAGUCUGGCUUUAUGUACCUUGUAGCUAGAAAUGGUACUGUACUUAAUCCUGUAUUCUCUAAUUCAGUAUCAAUGCAAGAUCUCUACUUGAGGGCAACCCUGGACUAUGAUGGAGUUCUUAGGCAAUAUGUUUAUCCAAAGACUGCUUCCAGUAGCAGAAGCAGGGCUAUGGCCUGGACGACUUUGUCAAACUCCAUACCAUCAAAUAUCUGCUUGAGAAUUACGGGACAAGAAGGCGGUGGAGCUUGCGGUUUCAACAGCUAUUGCAGAUUAGCAGAUGACCAAAGACCAAGUUGCAAGUGUCUUCCUGGUUACACUUUCUUUGAUCCAAAUGAUGAGAGGAAGGGAUGCAAGAAAGAUUUUAUUUCACAGGAUUGUGACCAUCCAUCGCAAGAAAUAGAUAGCUUUGAGAUCAAGGAAAUGCCUAACACAAACUGGCCGUUUAAUGAUUAUGAAAUGUUUGGUUUAGUGGACGAGGAUUGGUGCAGACAGGCUUGCUUAAGUGACUGUUAUUGUGCUGUUGCCAUUUUUAACACUGCUGGACAAUGUUGGAUGAAGAGAGUCCCUCUCUCGAAUGGGGUAACAGAUCCAAGUGUUGGUGGAAAAGCCCUGAUAAAAGUAAGGAAAGGCAACUCGACUGCAGGUUCAAGUGCAAAGAAGUGUGAUAGAUCGAAUUUGAUCACAACAGGCUCGGUGCUUUUAGGUAGCUCCAUCUUUCUAAUUGUUCUCUCACUGCUAGGGAUCUAUGUGUUCUUUUCUCGAUGGAACCGACAGCAACAAAAAAUGAUACCGCAACACCGUCUCAUGCCAGACAUGAAUAUGCAGAAUUUCACUUACAAUGAGCUCGAAAGAGCUACAGGAGGAUUCACGGAAGAACUUGGUAGAGGUGCCUUUGGAACUGUUUACAAAGGGGUACUAGCGAACGAAGACAAACCACUCAUUGCAGUGAAGAAGUUAGAUCAGAUGGCCGGAGAGGGCGACAGAGAAUUCAAUACAGAAGUGAAAGUUAUUGGAAGAACAAAUCACAAGAAUUUGGUUCAACUUAUUGGAUUCUGUAACGAAGGGCAACAUCGCCUUCUGGUCUACGAAUACAUGAGCAAUGGCUCUUUGGCCAAUUUUCUCUUUGGAGAUUCAAGGCCUAACUGGUACCGAAGAAUGCAAAUUGCUUUCGAUAUAGCCAGAGGGCUCCUUUACCUCCAUGAAGAAUGCAGCUCCCAGAUAAUCCAUUGUGAUAUCAAACCUCAAAAUAUCCUCCUCGACAAAUCUUUUAAUGCAAGGAUUUCUGAUUUCGGAAUAGCCAAGCUGCUGAAGACAGACCAAACUAAAACAACUACAGCAAUCAGGGGGACCAAAGGGUAUGUAGCUCCUGAAUGGUUCAAGAACCUGCCUGUCACAACCAAAGUCGAUACCUACAGCCUUGGCAUUCUUUUGCUGGAGCUAGUUUGUUGCAGAAAGAACUUUGAUAUUGAUAAGAAAGAAGGUCAGAUAGUUCUUGCAGACUGGGCAUGGGAUUGCCUUAAAGAAGGAAAGUUAGACCUUUUAGUUGAAGAUGAUGAAGAGGCAGCAGAAGACAUGAAAACGGUAGAGAGGUUUGUGAUUGUUGCAAUUUGGUGCCUUCAAGAGGAUCCAUCUUUAAGACCUGAAAUGAAGAAAGUUGUGCUGAUGCUAGAAGGAGCUGUUCAAGUCUCUAUUCCUCCUAAUCCUUCAUCAUUUAUCAGCGCAAUCUAAAUCCUUUUUGUACACAUGUAUAUAUCCAGUUACUAAGACCAAUGAAUGUAACCUAUCUACCAUGCAUUGAAUGAUCUGUAGUUGCUGUCAUUUCAGACAUGUCUAGAUCAUCUUCUGGGUUGAUACUCUAAAUUUCAAGUCAAAUGAUGAUUUCUUCAACCUGUCCAAUUGAGUAACAGAUUGAUUGAGUCUUUAUCAGCUUGGAAAGAAAAACAUCAUGUGUUACAACAUGCACAACAAGGCUUCAAAUACUUGCAUCCAUUUUUUAUUUUCCUUUUCCAUGCUCAAGAGUAACGAGUAGAAUCAAAGAAUCAUUAUUCAAAAUAUGUGCUUAAUAAAUAAUUACUAACCAGUACUUCAAUCUUAAACGGUCUAGCUUUUAUAGACUUGGCCCGUGUAAAUAGCAUGUUUGUUUCCCAAGUUAUUUAUCAUAAUGUAGUCCUAAUUAAGAUCAUAUUAAUUGAGCUUGGCUUGAUUUUCAUAAAAAACUUUGUUUGUAGUUAUUAGAUUAACUCAGCCUGAUAAAUUCACAACUUUAAUUUUUUUCUGUUUUUAAAAUAUCGUUUUAACUUUUAUUAAAAUAAAUUAAAAUAAUAUUAUUUUAAAUUAAUUUAAAAAAUCUAAAUUAACAUAUCUAGUCUGUGGGUCAUGUGCGAGUUCGGGCUUAAUAUUUUGUAUGUGAAUGGUUUGUUUAACAUCUUGAGAAAUUUAGUAAUUGCAGACAAAAGUGGACCAGUCCAUUAUAAUAAUGAUAGGAAGAAAAGGUUCAUUUUGGCGUAAAAGACAAUUUUAGACCAAUAUAAAAGACUAGUCGUGCAUUUGUUGUCUUGUUUAUGUAUGACACGUAGUCGAUGGCAAUGUGACUUUCAAAUUGGAUUGAUUCGUGUGUUAAUUGUACCGUGCACGUUAAAGUUUCAUGCGCUUAUUUAUUUUCUUUUCUUUUUUUCCAUAUUAAAGAGUAACGAGUAAAAUCUUAUAUUUAUAUAUUAGCAUUAAGCAAAAGGGUUUUAUAAUUUAUUAUUCCACUUAAUUUAAUUUUAAAUAAAUUUUUUUUUGAAAGGUUUAGUUUGAAUGAUAAAUGAGUUUGUUCUUAAGCUACUAUUUAGAAUUGAAUCCUUAAAAAAACGAUUCCUUUUUCUGACUUUACAAAUUCAGAUAUAAAUGCUCUAAUUCAAACUCAAUACAUAGGAGGAAUUCAUUCCAAGAAUGAUCACUUUUAAUUCACUUUACAUAUUACUCAACAACAAAUUGAUGUUAAUAGCUCACACUACGCUACAUACUAGAUUUUUUAUAUAUAUAAAGGAAAAUAUGCAGAUGUUUCUAACAUAUUUUCUAGUAAAAAUAAUUUAAAUUAUAUGUGGGUUGACCUGAUAUAACUUGAUUAACUUGAGAUGAAUGAUCGUUAAAAAAAAUUUUGAUAAAAAAAAUCCCAAGAGGAUUUUUUAAAGAAAUAUUAAGACAAAAACAUAUCGGAUCGACUUAGGUCAACUUGGGUUAACUUGUCAAAUCAAUAUUAUUGGUACCCAUUUUGGGACCCCAUACUAAGAAAUUAAAAAACAAUAUUGGAAAAAUAAAAUAUAUAUCAGUAAGAAAAACAUGAAAAUUGUCUAGAAAAUUUCCAAAAACUAGUUGAGAAGGACCAAAAUACCCAAAUUUGAAAAAUUAACAGUUCAAUUUUGAUUGAUGAAGGUCUUAUUAACAAGAAAAAUGCAAUUUGGAAAGAAAAAUUCAAAAUUAGAUGUUUAAUAACUCAAUUGGUAUUUUUUUUAGGGUUUAAUUGAAUUUAUUAAGGGUUUAAUUGCUAGGAAUGUUGGUUUUUGAAUUCAAUUUGGGCUUUAAUUGGAAAGAAUUGAAGUCUUGGGGUUGAAUUGCAAUUUUAAAAAGAUGAUUUGAUCAAAUCAGAGGUUUAAUUGUAUAAAUAUUAAAGUUUAAUAGGCAAUUAAGGACUUGAUUGAAGAAACUUAAAAUCAAAGACCAAACCAUAAAAGACAUGAGACUUCAAGGAUUUAAAUCGAUAAAAUCAAGGGUCAAAUUAAAAACAAUUGAAGGUUUGAUAGUCAAUUGAUUGUCAAUGACCUAAUUAUCUAGCUAUUGCUCUAAGACGUACAGCUAAUAACAAGUCUUUUUUGCAUGUCUCUUUUGCAUGGGUUUAUCACACAGUCCUUUCUUCGCGUUAAUAUAUAUUGGAAGAGUCACCUAAUGUUUGAGUCAUUGCGAUAAGCAUUUUCUGAGGAAGUAAGCAGGAAGCUGCUAUGUUUUGUCCUCCAGUCAAAUAUUGAUAAUUUAUUUUAGUUUUUUUUAUAGUAUAACGACCGGGAGUUAACUCAAGUUAAUUUAUAAAAGUAUCAUUUUGUUAUUUAAAAAUAUAUAUAUAUAUAUUAUUUUUUUAUUUUUUUAAAAAAUUAAACAAGAUUUUUAUAUAAUGAAAUCGACCGGGUUUUGGUUUUGGGUUGGCAGAUAAAUACAUUGACCGUUUAAUAACCGGAAAAAUUGGAUAUUAGUUAAAAUUUAUUUACCAAAAAGAAAAAAUCAUAAAGACAGAAAGAAAGUCUUUGCCAUCUUCAUUUGAUACGCAGAAGGUUUUUAGCAUUAGUUUAUUCUCAUGCAUGAAAAAAUGAUUCGAAAUUAGUUGAAAUUUCUUUAUCACAAUUAACCACAUAAAGAAAGUCUUUGCCAUAUUCAUUUGAUAAAUGCAUUGACCGUUUAAUAACUGGAAGGUUUUUAGCAUUAGUUUAUUCUCAUGCAUGAAAAAAAGAUUCGAAUUUAUCACAAGGGAAAAAUACAAUCACAUAAAUACAAUCUCUUUAUCAAUUAGUUGGAGACCCAUAUUUUCCUCCAACGACAAUACUCAGCAUAAAUAGAGAAGAGGACCUGUGCCCUAAAUCAUGCAAUGUCUUGAUAUACAGUAUCUUCACAUCAUGGAUUUUCAACUACCAUAUUGUUUUUUCUUCCUUCUUCUUCUGCUGCUGCCAUUUUCUAGCAAUGGUCAGGCUCACAGCAACAUAUCUUCGGGCUUAUUUCUCACUGCUGCAAGUGAUAACCUUCCUUGGACUUCACCAUCUGGGGAAUUUGCUUUUGGAUUCCAACAAGUUGGUGAUGCUGGCUACCUACUUGCCAUAUGGUUCAACAAAAUACCCGAAAGAACCAUAGUCUGGUCAGCUAAUAGAAAUGAUCUAGUUCAGGGGGGAUCAAGAGUACAACUUGUUGGGGAAUUCCGGCUCCCCUUGCGCGGACCGGGGGUGUACUGAUAUUUGCUCAUAGGAGGGUAAAGCACACUGACACAAUAUUUUACGUGGUUCGGCAAAACCGCCUACAUCCACGGGAGAGAGUCCAUUUUAUUUGAGAUUAGAGAAAGGAUAUACAUGGAGGAGGAGGAUCACUUCACUCAAACUCUACUCCCAGCUCUCAUUGCUGCACUUGCAGCUGCUGCAAUGGCAACAAGGCUGCUGCCAUUGCAGCUCUCCACUUUCUCUCUAUACUCUUCACAUUCUCACACCUCUCUUACCUUUUGCUCUCUCACGUAUGCCUAUAAAUAGGCAAGUAUGGUGGCUUCUCUUCUUCAACAACAGCAGCUGCACAUGGGUUGAUACAUUUGUCAAUGGUGGGUGCAACUACCAUUGACAAAUGGUAACCCUACUCCUUAGGGUAGGUUGCCCAAUAAUGGCAAAUCCCAACACAACUUACCAGAGAUGGUGAGUUGGUUCUAAAUGAUCAAUCAGGCAGAACAAUAUGGAGUCCAGUUUUUGGUGGAAGUGGAGCCGCCUAUGCAGCCAUGCUUGACACGGGAAACUUCGUGGUAGCAAGCCAAGCUGGUGCCAAUUUGUGGCAGAGUUUUGAUGAACCAACAGACACACUGUUGCCCACACAAAAUCUGAAUUUAGGUGCUCAACUAAUUGCUCCCUACCUGGAAAAGAAUUAUUCAGAUGGAAGAUUCAAGUUCAUUCUACAAGCUGACAGCAAUCUCGUACUGUACACAACACGUUAUCCAACAACUACCUCAAAUUAUGCUUAUUGGUCUACCCAGGAUUCUAUUGGAAGCGGUUAUAGGGUGGUCUUUAACCAGUCUGGCUAUAUGUACCUCGCAGCCCAAAAUGGCGCUAUGCUUAAUUCGGUAUUCUCUAAUUCAGUAUCAAUGCAAGAUUUCUACUUGAGGGCUACCAUAGACUAUGAUGGAGUUUUUAGGCAAUAUGCUUAUCCAAAGACUGCUUCCAGUAGCACAAGGUGGGCUAUGGCCUGGACGACUUUGCCAAACUUCAUACCCUCAAAUAUCUGCGUGGUAAUUAGGGGACCAGUAGGCAGUGGAGCUUGCGGUUUCAACAGUUAUUGCAUAGUAGGAGAUGACCAAAGACCGACAUGCAAGUGUCUUCCUGGUUACACUUUCUUUGAUCCAAAUGAUGAGAGGAAGGGAUGCAAGAAAGACUUUAUUUCACAGGAUUGUGACCAUCCAUCGCAAGAAAUAGAUAACUUUAUGAUCAGGGAUAUGCUUAACACAAACUUUCCAUAUACUGAUUAUGAAGAUUUUUUUUCAGUGGACGAGGAUUGGUGCAGACAAGCUUGCUUGAGUGACUGCUAUUGUGCUGUUGCCACUUAUAACAGUGGACACUGUUGGAAGAAGAGAGGCCCUCUCUCGAAUGGGGUAACAGAUCCAAGUAUUGGUGAUGAAGCCCUGAUGAAAGUAAGGAAAGGCAACCGGACUGCAGGUUCAAGUGCAAAGAAGAGUGAUCGAUCAAUUUUGAUCACAACAGGAUCGGUGCUUUUAGGUAGCUCCAUCUUUCUAAUUGUUCUCUCUCUGCUAGGAAUCUACGUGUUCUUUACUCGAUCGAACCAACAAAAACAAAAGGUGGUACCGCAACUCCAUGUCAUGCCAGAAAUGAAUCUGCAGAAUUUUACUUUCAAUGAGCUGGAAACAGCUACAGGAGGAUUCAAGGAAGAAGUUGGUAGGGGUGCUUUUGGAAUUGUUUACAGAGGGGCACUAGCCAACGAAGACAAACCGCUCAUCGCAGUAAAGAAAUUAGAAAAGAUGGCCGGGGAGGGCGACACAGAAUUCAAUACAGAAGUGAAAGUUAUUGGCAGAACAAAUCACAAGAAUCUGGUUCAACUUAUUGGAUUCUGUAACGAAGGGGAAAAUCGCCUUCUGGUCUACGAGUACAUGAGCGGUGGCUCCUUGUCAAACUACAUAUUUGGAUAUUCAAGGCCUAGUUGGCACCGAAGAAUGCAAAUUGCUUUCGGUGUAGCCAGAGGGCUAGCUCCUUUACCUCCAUGAAGAAUGCAGCUCCCAGAUAAUCCAUUGUGAUAUCAAGCCUCAAAAUAUCCUGCUCGACGAAUCUCUUAACGCCAGGAUUUCAGAUUUCGGACUAGCCAAGCUGUUGAAGACGGACCAAACCAAAACAACGACAGGAAUCAGGGGGACGAAAGGGUAUGUAGCUCCUGAAUGGUUCAAGAACCUGCCUGUCACAACCAAAGUAGAUACCUACAGCUUUGGCAUUCUCUUGCUGGAGCUAGUUUGCUGCAGAAAGAACUUUGAGAUUAAUGCAAUGCAAGAAGAUCAGAUAGUUCUUGCAGACUGGGCAUGUGAUUGCCUUAAAGAAGGAAAGUUGAACCUUUUAGUAGAAGAAGAUGAAGAGGCAAUGGAAGACAUGAAAAGGGUAGAGAGGUUUGUGAUGGUUGCAAUUUGGUGCAUUCAUGAAGAUCCAUCUUUAAGACCUGGAAUGAAGAAAGUUGUGCAGAUGUUAGAAGGAAGUGUUCAAGUCUCUGUUCCUCCUGAUCCUUCAUCAUUUAUCAGCACAAUCUAAAUCCUUUUUGUACAUAUAUAUAUAUCCAGAAACUAAGGCCAAUGAAUGUUACCUAUCUACCUUGCAUUGAAUAAUCUGUAGUUCCUUGUAUUGAAUAAUCUGUAGUUCCAAUCAUUUCAGGCAUCAUGUGUUAGACCUUGUAAAAUAAGGCUUAAAACGCAUGCUUCCAAUUAUUAUUUUUUCUUUUCCAUGUUCACCAGUAAUAAGUAAAAUAAAAGAUUUGAAAUGAAUAUAAAGGUAAACUCGUAUAUAAUUAGAUAUUUUUUCUUUAUUUUUUUUUAGGAUUUUAAAUAUUAACGCAUAGAUAAAGUUCAGGAUAUUAAAUAUAAUUUCUAGCAAGAAAGUGAAAAUCAAUCUUAAAAGGUUUAUUUUAAUCAUCCUUUUUAGAUAUUUGCAUUAAGAAAAAACUUGGAGCAUCCAAAUCAUUCACUGUGAUAUAAAGCCGCAGAACAUUCUCAUUGAUGACGACUACAAUGCUCUAAGCUGAGGAGAAGAAACGACAGUACUGUCUUGACAAAUGUUUCCUAUGUGAAAGCGUUGUGAAACAGGGCAGGCUUCAUUCACGUGAUCUUCAAGAGAAAGUUUUGGUUGGAUAAAUAAAUAAAUAUACUAAGAAAAAAUAAAGGGAAAAAAUAGAAAUUUAUUUGUUUUUGUGUUUUGAAAAUGUUUUUAAAAAAUUUGAAUUUUUAUUUUAUUUUUUUCUUUACUUUAAAUUAAUAUUUUUUUAUGUUUUUAGAUUAUUUUGAUGCACUGAUAUUAAAAAUAAUUUUUUAAAAAUAAUAAUUACAACCUUCCAAACACGCAAGCCAUGCAGCUCACGUACCUACUAGAGACGAUUUUAACUCGCGGCCUGCACUAUUUUAGGCUGUGUUUGUUUCCUGGAAAAUGGUUUCCGGGAAACCACUUUCCAAACUUUUCUGUGUUUGUUUGUCAUCAUGAAAGUUGGUCAACGGAAAACACUUUACGGUCAACGGAAAACACUUUCCAGUCAAAGGAAAAUUUCGCUUGGUUUCCAGGAAAAUGUUUUCCUUUUAUUUUGGGCGGAAAACACUUUCCGGAAGUUGUGAAAAAUUUAGAAAUGUCAUAUUAUUUGUUAAUUAUAUCAAAUUUGGUCCUCAAACUUUUGAUUGCUAUAUAUAUUUUGUUUUGAAUAUUUGUUUUUCAAUUUCAUCCAUUAAAAUUGAAUUUUUAUAUUAAUUUAUGAAAUGUUAAUUAUUAUUAUUAUUUUAAUUUCUUCAUCUUUCAAUUUUUUUUAUUUUUUAGAUUUGAUCUCUAUUAUUUUGAUUAUUAUUUAUUUUAUUUGAGAUAAUUUAUGAAAUUAUAUUUUUUUUUUCAAUUUCAUUUUGAUUCAACUUUUUAAUUUGUAAGAUUUGUUUCUUAUUAUUUUAAUAAACUUGAAAAAAAUAAAACAUUAAUAAGUUAUUUUCCAGCUCAUUUUCCAUGACAGAACCAAACACUGAAAAGUGUUUUCCAACUUAUUUUCCAUUACACUACCAAAUAUCGGAAAAUAAUUCAUUUUCCUGAAAUUUACUUUUCAAAAGAAAACUACUUUCCAGUAAAUAAACGGGGCCUUUGUAAAUCAAAAGAAAAGCUGCCAUUACCCUUGCUUUUUGUAGCAGCACGUUAAAACAAUAAAAAACUAAAAAAAAUAUUUUUAUAAAAAAAUUAAAAAUACUUUUUAAACAUGAAUACAAACACAAUCAACGUAAAGUCGGCAGCCAAGUAAUUAGAUUUUUUCUUUCUUUCUCACUCUCUCAGCUAAAGAAAAUAAUCGGUUAAAGAAAGAAAGAGAAGAAGGGAAGUGCAUGAAUUCCUUUUUUACAAGGAUUUUUCUACUUUUUGUUUAACCUCAAUUUCAACCACAGUUUUAACCAAACACCUAUUUUUUCAAAUCAACCUCAACUAAAAGUACUUUUUAUAAAACAACUUUUUUCAAAUCACAACCACAACAGCUACCGCAAUAUCAAACACACUCAUAGUCCUUGAAUGUAAUCGAGUAAACUUGAGUUGAAGUAGCUUGAUCAUGACAUUUAACUAUCGUAAAACAUUUAUAAAUGGAAAUAUAAAUACCUUUUUAUAUACCAUGUGUUUGGUUGCUAUAUUAUGGAAGGAUAUGUGUUUAAUUAAUACAUUUGAUGGAUUACCUGCUUGUAAAGUUAAUACAUAUGUGUUAUAGAUAGAUUUUUUCUUACGUUAGUUGUCCCGACUAUAUCAAAAUUGACCAUCACCGCAUUAGUUUAAUUAACUAUUAUGAAUCGAUUGACUAGUUCAUAUUCUUGUUAAUGGUACUGAAAUUUAAUUGAUAUCGUGAUUUAGAAUCACAACAUUUAAUUAAAUAUCAUGUUUAUAAAUCACGAUAUCCAAAAGUAUGCUAUUUUGCUAAAAAAAUUUUGCUACGGUGUCAAUUUUUUUUUUUUUUUUUUGCAUUUUAUAUGCUAAUUACACAAAUUUAUCCUUGCAAUCCUUGAUGUCUCACCAUUAAAAAAAAAAAAUUGGUUAAACAUGUAUGUAUUCAUUUAUUUGAUACAUAGAAUGAACUUGGUUAGAAAAUUUCUUUGUUUCUUGAGAAAAAUAAAUUAAAACAUCUCUGUACCUCUAACCUUUGUCCAUUUCAGUGGAUGAUGUGCCUCACGAAUCCUGAAUCUGAUCCCCGCCCAAUUGAAUUUUGGAAACAUCCACUAUUUUAUGCGGCUCUUUUAAGAAAUAAAAAACACGUGGAGAUUUCGAAACAUUUCCCACGUGUAAGAUCUACCUAAAGGGAAAAUCAUCGAGUAUCAGUCACAAGAGCCUUCUGUCCAAUUUUUUUUUUCCUCUUAUCCCAUUACUAAAUGGACCGACAGAAAGGGUGCAGGUGCGCAAGAAAAAUUAAAGAAAACAGUAGGUGGACUUUUAAGAACUAUAUAUCCGUUUGGGGACGAAAACUUCGUAUAAAUUAACUUAAAUCCCAAAAAGACGUGACAGCACAUUCAAGAAUAUCUAUCUACUUUACUUUAAAAAAGAAGAAAUAACUGCAUAAAAGAGGAAAAUAAAUAAAAAAUCUAUCGAUAAUACAGCCAUGUUUGAUCUUCUAGCUACUGGAUAAAACAGGCAAAAUAACUAUCAGUAGAAGGCAAAAUCAAGCAAAGGAUUUGACAACAAAUUACAGCGAUGAAUCCAUGUAAAUAAUUGAGAUUAUGUAAGAGAGAUAGACAUAGUAAUUAGUACGUACGUGCCUUUCUAGCUCUCUGUGGUACCAAAUACAUGGUGAACGUAGGGUGGUUAUAAUUAAGAGCCCUCCAUAAUGCAGAUAAUGAAUAUUACCAGAGACUGUACGGGGAGAGACUACAGUGGCUAAGGCGCCUAAUCCAGCAUAAUUUGCACGAUUUACCUUAUCAGCAUAACAAAAACUCGAUUCAUACGUACUCGUUAUCAUCCGUAGCUAGUCCAAAGUCUCUAGACCAACAUGAAAGACAUGUCGUUGCUUUCUCCUCGUUGUUUGUGUUCAUGCACGAUUCGGUGGCAAAUUAGCAAAAGGGUAUACUUUAUCAUUUGCCCCUGUAAAUGAAACAAUUUUCUUUUUGUACCCUUAUAUUUUAAAGAUCUCGAACUUCACAAUUCUAGUUUAUAAAUGAACCAAAUUAAUGUCAUCCUUUUCAUCAAAUACCUUACCUUUUUCGAAUCUUUGAAGUGUUUUAUUUCAUGAGAGGAAAAUAUAAAUAUGAAAAAUCAAAAUCAACAUGAAUAAAUUUGAGUUUUUUUUAUAUAACUUGUUAGGAUUUUAGGGAUUUUUAAUUUAAAAAAAAUUGUAGAAGAAUCUUAAAUCAAAGCAGUUAAAACUGUGUAAUUGGAGUGGUUUAAAAAAAAAGGAAGCUUCUUAUUAAUUUCAUUACUAAUAUUUAUUAUACAAUAAUAUAAAUUAUAUCUUAAAUUAUCAUCAAUAUCUUAAAUUUUUUGGUUAAACUAGUUAUUUGAUAUGACAUUAAAAUUUUAUUAGCUAAAUUAUCAUUUUUGCGAUUCCUUUUUUUGUCCUAGAUUUAUUAGAAUUUCGUUAAAAAAAAGACCAGAAUAUAUAACUUUUCAGGAACCAGUUAUUUAACGAUUCAUUGAGUAUGAAAACAAACUUCAUUUUUGCAUUUCUUUCUCCAAGUUCUAGUUGGAUUUUCUCAGAAAGACCAGGAUUUUAGAGAUUUUCAAUGAAGAAAAUUUGUAGCACACGCAAUCCUAAAUCAAGAGAAACAGUGAAGCCUUUAUAGUUGAAGUGGUCAAAAGAAAAGGGAAACUCCCGAUUAAUUCCAUUAGUAAUGGUGACCAUUGAAACAAGCCACGCCGUUUAUUCCAAUGGCAUUAGUAAUUGCUCUAAGAUUCAUUGCUAAUAAUUUCUCUUUUUUGAACACCCCUUUCUUCACGUUAAUAUUGGAAAACUUGACCGUUGAGAUUUACAAUUUUCUAAUGCUUUACUUUUACUUCAUUAAUUUAUUCACGCUAGUUUUCAUGCUCCCCUUAAUUUAUUCAUUUGUAUCUUAUAAAAUUAGAUUCAGUGUCUUUUAAAAGUAGUGCAUAUUGCAAAGUUAUUAAAUUUGGUCCGGCUCACGGGUUAAUAUUGAGUUGAUCCAAAUCAAACCAUAAUAAUGUCAUUUUAAUUUUUUUAUAACUUCAAACGAUAUUGUUUUGGAAAAAAAAUCAAAUUAGAUUUAGAUAAGAUUUUUACUGCUUCAUAGCUUGACCUGCUAAGAUAAUCAAGUUUAACCGAGUGAACUUCUAUCCAGAUUAAUUUAAAAUUUAACUCAAUUGAGAAUAACAGAAUGACUUGGGUUGGCCUUAGCCAACCUUUCCUAUUUAUAUAUGUACGGCAUAACACGGCAGCAACCGUAGGGAUUACAACAUUGGAAUAAUCCUACAUUAAUUUUUUAUUCAGAGAUAUACAUGCUAUACAUUCUAUAAUAUGCCCCCUCAAGCUGAGGGUGGAGGAUCGACCCGAAACUUGAACCUGAAAGCAGUAAAGGACACAGCGGAAAGUGGUUUGGUGAAGACGUCAGCAAGUUGGUCCCGAGAAGGGAUAAAGCGAAUCUGAAUUUCCUUCUUCGCAACCCAGUUGCGGACAAAAUGAUAAUCUACCUCAACAUGCUUAGUACGAGCAUGAAAGAUAGGAUUCGCCGAGAGAUAGGUCGCACCAAGAUUAUCACACCAAAUGGUAGGAGUAGAGACGAUGGGAACUACAGAUCUAUUAACAAAUAUUGAAGCCAGAUGACCUCAGUAGUACCAUCUGCUAAGGCUUUAUACUCAGCCUCAGUGGAGGAACGGGCAACUGUACGUUGUUUGCUGGAUUUCCAUGAAAUCAGUGUCUGACCAAAGAAAACAAGAUAGCCACCCGUAGACUUGCGAUCAUCAAUACUACCAGCCCAAUCUGUAUCUGUAAAGCCAUGAAGAGCAAAAGAGGUGCCUCGAGUGAUAUGAAAACCAUAGGAUGCCGUUCCUUUGAGGUAGCGGAGUAUGCGUUUAACAGCAGCCCAAUGGGAAUCUGUAGGAGCAUGCAUGUACUGACAAACUCUGUUAACAGCAAAACAGAUAUCUGGAUGAGUGAAUGUAAGAUACCGAAUAGUACCCACGAUUUGACGAAAUCGUGUGGGAUUAGAGAAUGGAUGAUCCGGCUGUAUAACAAGUUUGGAAGGAGAGACUGGAGUAUCAACGGGUUUACAAGAAGUCAUACCAACCCAAGUGAGGAUGUCAAGAAUAUAUUUGUGUUGGCGCAGCAUCAGACCCAUACCUGUAGACUGAAUUUCAAUACCCAGAAAGUAGUGAACAUCACCUAAGUCACGAAGCUUGAAUUCUGAGCUUAGUAACUGGAUUAGGUGAUGAAGCAUGGCAGAGUUGUUGCCCGUAAGCAGAAUAUCAUCAACAUAGACCAAGAGAUAAAAGAUAUUAGUACCAUCAGAUAAGAUAAACAGGGAGGUGUCAACCUUGGAGGCAAGGAAACUAAUGGAGAGUAAAAAAUCACUCAGACGGGUGUACCAUGCCCUUGGUGCCUGUUUUAAACCAUAUAAUGACUUGUGCAAUCUGCACUCAUGAGAUGGAAAAGUAGGGUCAACAAAACUUGGAGGUUGUUUCAUGUAAACCUCUUCAGUAAGAACACCAUUGAGAAAGGCAUUAUGAAUAUCAAGCUGAUGAAUCUUCCAAUUACAGGAAACCGCAAUGAAAAAGACUAAUCUGACGGUGGCUUGCUUAAUAAUUAGGCUGAAAGUUUCAGAAUAAUCAAUGCUUUCCUGAUGAGUAAAGCCUCUAGCAACUAGACGGGCUUUAUAAUGUUCAAUGCUGCCAUUAACAUGAUGUUAGAUUCGAUAUACCCAUCGGCUACCCACAACAUUCAUCGAAUGAUGAAAGGGCACUAGGGACCAAGUGUGAUUGGAACGUAAAGCCUUGAUCUCAUCACACAUAGCAUCAUGCCAAGCAACAUAUUUAUCUGCAUCAGAGAAGGCAAUAGGUUCAGAAGAAUGAGAGACCAAUACCCGGGUGGCAGUUGUAUCAGCUGCAGCAGAGGCCACUAUAUUUGUGGUUUUGGGCUGCCGCGGUCUAAGGACCAUAGGGUGGCGGCUGAGCAAUGGUGGCGACGCAGAAGAGGUAGGUGUCACAGAGGUGUCCUGUUGCAGUGGAUAAGCGGAGAGAUCAACCACUAGAUUCAGACCAGGUGAAGAAGUCAGGGAAGAAGCUGCUGCAAGUAGAGGGCUGGCAGUAGAGAUAGAGUCUGCAGAAGCCGGGUGACUGGCAGAAUAAGGGGAAGCAGAGGAGGAACCAAAGGUUGUCCCAGUACUAGUAGAGACAUCGUGCUGGAGUGCAGGGAAAACUGAUCGACAACCUGUACCUACAACAGAAUGGUGAGAUAAAGAUGCAUGUGGUGAUCGGCAAGGGAAAUGUGGAGGCUGUGGUGUUUUGGUAGGAGGUGAAUGCAGGGCAGAGGCGGGAUGGGGUGUGUUAUCAUCGGUGAAUAAUAGGAAGUGGGUCAGAUUUGGGAGGAUGGUAGCAGGGAAUGAUGUGUGGUUUUGAGACGAGACCUGUGCAAUUUGUUCAGAUUUAUCAAACGAAAAAACAUGUUCAUGAAAACGGACAUGACAGGAGAUAUACAUGCAAUGAGAUUCAAUGUCAAAACAUCGAUAACUAAGGUGAGAGGAACUGUAGCAAAAAAACACACAGUGAAGAAGUUAGAUAAGAUGGCCGGAGAGGGCGACAAAGAAUUCGAUACUGAAGUGAAAGUUAUUGGUAGAACAAGUCACAAGAAUUUGGUUCAACUUGUUGGAUUCUGUAACGAAGGGCAACAUCGCCUUCUGGUCUACGAAUACAUGAGCAAUGGCUCUUUGGCCAAUUUUCUCUUUGGAGAUUCAAGGCCUAACUGGUAUCGAAGAAUGCAAAUUGCUUUCGAUAUAGCCAGAGGGCUCCUUUACCUCCAUGAAAUGAAGAAUGCAGCUCCCAGAUAAUCCAUUGUGAUAUCAAGCCUCAAAAUAUCCUCCUCGACGAAUCUCUUAACGCCAGGAUUUCUGAUUUCGGACUCGCCAAGCUGUUGAAGACGGACCAAACUAAAACAACUACAGCAAUCAGGGGGACCAAAGGGUAUGUAGCUCCUGAAUGGUUCAAGAACCUGCCAGUGACAACCAAAGUAGAUACCUACAGCUUGGGCAUUCUCUUGCUGGAGCUAGUUUGCUGCAGAAAGAACUUUGAGAUUAAUGCGAUGCAAGAACAUCAGAUAGUUCUUGCAGACUGGGCAUGUGAUUGCAUUAAAGAAGGAAAGUUAGACGUUUUAGUAGAAGAAGAUGAAGAGGCAACUGAAGACAUGAAAAGGGUAGAGAGAGGUUUGUGAUUGUUGCAAUUUGGUGCAUUCAUGAGGAUCCAUCUUUAAGACCUGGAAUGAAGAAAGUUGUGCAGAUGCUAGAAGGAGCUGUUCAAGUCUCUAUUCCUCCUCAUCCUUCAUCAUUUAUCAGCACAAUCUAAAUCCUUUUUGUACACACACACACACACACACACACAUAUAUAUAUAUAUAUAUCCAGAAACUAAGGCCAAUGAAUGUAACCUAUCUACCAUGUAUUGAAUAAUCUGUAGUUCCUAUCAUUUCAGACAUGUCUAGAUCAUCUUCUGGGUUGAUACUCUAAAUUUCGAGUCAAAUGAUGAUUUCUUCAACAACAAGGCUUCAAAUUCUUGAAUCCUUUUUUUUUUUCCCUUUUCCAUGCUCAAGAGUAACGAGUAGAAUGAAAGAAUUAUUGUUCAAAAUAUGUGCUUAAUAAAUAAUUACUAACCAGUACUUCAAUCUUAAAUGGUCUAGCUCUUAUAGACUUGGCCCGUGUAAAUGGCAUGUUCGUUUCCCAAGUUAUUUAUCAUAAUGUAGUCCUGAUUAAGAUCAUAUUAAUUGAGCUUGAUUUUCAUAAAAAACUUUGUUUGUAGUUAUUAGAUUAACUCAAUCCUGAUCAAUUCACAACCUUAAUUUUUUUUCUAUUUUUAAAAUAUCGUUUUAACUUUUAUUAAAAUAAAUUUAAAAAAUAUUAUUUUAAAUUAAUUUAAAAAAUCUAAAUUAACAUAUCUAAUCUGUGGGUCAUGAUGUGCGAGUUCGGGCUUAAUAUUUUUUAUGUGAAUGGUUUGUUUAACAUCUUGAGAAAUUUAGUAAUUGCAGACAAAAGUUGACCAGUCCAUUAUAAUAAUGAUAGGAAGAAAAGGUUCAUUUCGGCGUACAAGACAAUUUUAGACCAAUAUAAAAGACUAGUCGUUGCAUUUGUUGUCUUGUUUAUGUAUGACACGUAGUUGAUGGCAAUGUGACUUUCAAAUUGGAUUGAUUCGUGUGUUAAUUGUACCAUGCACAUUAAAGUUUCAUGCGCUUAUUUAUUUUCUUUUCUUUUUUUCCAUAUUAAAGAGUAACAAGUAAAAUCUUAUAUUUAUAUAUUAGCAUUAAGCAAAAGGGUUUUAUAAUUUAUUAUUCCACUUAAUUUAAUUUUAAAUAAUAAUAUAUUAUUUUGAAGGUUUAGUUUAAAUGAUAAAUGAGUUUGCUCCUUAAGCUACUAUUUAGAAUUCAAUCUUUAAAAAAACGAUUCCUUUUUCUGAAUUUACAAAUUUAGAUAUAAAUGCUCUAAUUCAAAAUCAAUAUAUAGGAGGCAGCAUUCCAACAAUGAUCACUUUUAAUUCACUUUACAAAUUACUCAACGAGAUGUUAACUAAAUUAUUGGCUCAAUUUUUUAUAUAUAAAGAAAAACAUGCAGAUGUAUCUAACAUGUUUUUUUGAUAAAAAUAAUUUAAAUUAUAUAUGAGUUAACCUGAUAUAACUUGGUUAACUUAAAAUUAACAAUCGUUAAAAACAUCGUUUGAUUAAAAAAUUUCCAAGAUUAUAUUUUUUAAGAAAUAUUAAGAUAAAAAUAUAUUGAAUCGACUCAGGUCAACCUAAAUUAACUUGUCAAAUCAACAUUAUUGUUAUCUAUUUUUGGGACCCCAUACUAAAAAAUUAAAAAACUUUGGAAAAAUAAAAUACAUAUCAAUAAGAAGAGCAUGAAAAAUAUCUAGAAAAUUUUCAAAGACUAGUUGAGGAAGAUCAAAAUGCCCAAAGUUGAAAAAUUAAUAGUUCAAUUUUGAUUGAUAAAUGCCUUAUUAACAAGAGAAAUUCAAUUUGAGAAGAAACAUUUAAAAUUGAAUGUUUAAUAACCCAAUUGGUAUUUUUUUAGGGUUUAAUUAAAUUUAUUGAAGGUUUAAUUAUGAGGAAUGUUGGUUUUUGAAUUCAAUUUGGGUUUUAAUUGGAAAGAAUUGAAGUCUUGGGGUUGAAUUGCAAUUUUAAAAAGAUAAUUUGGUCAAAUCAAGGGCUUAAUUGCAUAGAUAUUAAAGUUUGUUAGGCAAUUAGGGACUUGAUUAAAGAAACUCAAAACCAAAGACCAAAUCGUAAAAGGUAUGAGACUUAAAUCGACAGAAUCAAGGGUCAAAUUAAAGACAAUUGAAAGUUUAAUUGAUGGUCAAUUGAGGGUUAAUUUACAUAAAUCAACAAUCAAUAACCUAAUUAGAAAAGGUGCUAAAUUCUGGGGUUGAUUAUUGAGUUUGACAGGGAUGAAAUUGUAUGAAAUUAAAAGUUUAAAGAUAAUUAAAAGAAGUUUAAGUCAAAUAUAUCAAGAUCUAAGACCAAGUCACAAAUAUUCUGACAAAGUCACUCAAACAUGAUAUCUUUGUCAAGUUUAGAGAUAUGCUAGGAGUUAUCAAAAAUCAAGUUUAAUAGAGGAUGUUGAAAAUAAACUAAAUUUUUUGGUUUUUUUUAAAUGAAAAAACUAUUCGACUAGUUGAAACAGAAGAACUAAUCUACCGGUUGAAAAUUGUUUGACUAAGUAAGUCAAAAAAAUUACUUUUUCUUAUUAUAUUAAAUUAUAUUUUGUUUAGUUUAAUUUCUUAUUUGUCUAGGAUUUUAUAUUUAUAAAUAGGCUUGUAAUUAUAAGUAUAAGGUAAUUAAAAGAUGAAAAAUAAUUAAAAGAAGUUUAAGUCAAAUAUAUCAAGAUCUAAGACCAAGUCACAAAUAUUCUAAUAAAGUCACUCAAACAUGAUGUUUUUGCCAAGCUUAGAGAUAUGCUAGGAGUUAUCAAAAAUCAAGUUUAAUAGAGAAUGUUGAAAAUAAAUUAAAUUUUUGGUUUUUUUUUUAAAUAAAGGAACUAAUCGACUAGUUGAAACAGAGGAACUAAUUUACCGGUGAAAAUUAUUUGACUAAUUAAGUAAAAAAAAAUUAUUUUUUAUUAUAUUAAAUUAUUUUUUAUUUAGUUUAAUUUCUUAUUUGUCUAAAAUUUUAUAUUUAUAAAUAGGCUUUUAAUUAUAAAUAUAAGACAAGUACAGAAAAGAAAAACACUUAAUAAAACAUACUUUCCUCUAAAAAUUUCUUCUUGUUAAAUAGCCUUGCAAUUUAGUAUUUAUCCAUAUAAGCUACCACAUUAAUUUUCUUCUAGCAGGGGGCUCCUUCCAUGAAGAAUGCAUCUCGCAUUACUAUCCAAAGGGUAUGUAGUUCUUGAAUAGUUCAAGAACUUGGCUGUUACAACCAAGGUUACCUGCAGCUUUGGCAUUCUCUUCCUAGAGCUAGUUUGUUGCAGAAAGAACUUUGAGAUUAAUGCAAUGCAAGAAGAUCAGAUAGUUCUUGCAGACUGGGCAUGUGAUUGCCUUAAAGAAGGAAAGUUGAACCUUUUAGUAGAAGAAGAUGAAGAGGCAAUGGAAGACAUGAAAAGGGUAGAGAGGUUUGUGAUGGUUGCAAUUUGGUGCAUUCAUGAAGAUCCAUCUUUAAGACCUGGAAUGAAGAAAGUUGUGCAGAUGUUAGAAGGAAGUGUUCAAGUCUCUGUUCCUCCUGAUCCUUCAUCAUUUAUCAGCACAAUCUAAAUCCUUUUUGUACAUAUAUAUAUAUCCAGAAACUAAGGCCAAUGAAUGUUACCUAUCUACCUUGCGUUGAAUAAUCUGUAGUUCCUAUCAUUUCAGGGCAAUAAGGCUUAAAACGCAUGCUUUCAAUUAUUAUUUUUUCUUUUCAUGUUCACGAGUAAUAAGUAAAAUAAAAGAUUUAAAAUGAAUAUAAAGGCAAACCGUAUAUAAUUAUUAGAUAUUUUUUCUUGAUUUUCUUUUAGGAUGUUAUAUAUUAACGCAUGUAUAAAAUUCAAGAUGUUAAAUACAAUUUCUCAGCAAGAAAGUGAAUUAAAAUCAAUCUUUAAAGGUUUAUUUUAAUUAUUCUUUUUAGAUAUUUUCAAUUAAAAAAAACUUGUAGCACAAUCCUAAAUCCUAGAAGUGAAAACAUUACACGUACCCUGUGAUAUCAUCUAAUAUUUUUAAAGAAUAAUAUAAAUAAAAAUUUAAAAUCUUAACUAAUAAUUCUUGUUUUUAAAUUGAAUAAUAAGUCAUUUUUUACGAGUUAUUUCUUUUUCUGUAAUUUAAUAGAAUUUUCUAAAAACAAAACCAGAAUAUAUAUAUAAUUAAUUUCUUGGAACAAGCCACCUUUUGAAAGGGUUUUCCUCUCCAAGAUUUAGUGGAAUUUUCUCAAAACAAAAUCUAGAAUACAUAUAAAUUGUUAGGAUUUUAGAGAUUUUCAAUAAAGAAAACUUUUAUAAUUGAAGUGGUCAAAAGAAGGAAGCUUCUGAUUAAUUUCAAUGUACAGCUAAUAACAUGUCUUUUUUGCAUGGGUCUAUCACACAGUCCUUUCUUCACGUUAAUAUAUAUUGGAAUAGUUGACCAUUGAAAAUUACAACCACCUAAUGUUUGACUCAUUAAUGCUGCCAUAAGCUUUUUAUUUACCAAAAAGAAAAAUUUAUAAAGAUAAAAAAAAAACUAUUUUACAAGGAUUUUAUUUAUUUUUAUGUUUUAAAACUAUUUUUAAAAAAAUUAAAAUUUUUUAUUUUUUAUUAUUUAAAAUUAAUAUUUUUUUAAUGUUUUCAGAUCAUUUUAAUGUGCUGAUAUUAAAAUUAAUUUUUAAAAAAUAAAACAAAUUAUUUUAAUAUAUUUUUAAAUAAAAAUACUUUAAAAAAUAAUUACUAUCACACUCUUAAAUCUCAAUACAGAGAAGGUUUUUAACAUUAGUUUAUUCUCAUGCAUGAAAAAGAUUCGAAAAUAGUUGAAAUCUCUUUAUGAGAAGGGAAAAAUCAAAAUCACAUAAACAAAGUCAUGAUUGCCAUCUUCAUUUGAUACGCGGAUAGGUGGAGACUCAAUAUUUCUUCCAACUGUAAUACUCAGCUUCUGAUUAAUUCUUUCUUGUUAAAUGCUUGCUUCUUUCUUGGAAAAGAAAGAGUGUUGGAACCAAGGAAGACACAAUAGACAGUAGUUGCAGCAGAAUCUUACAUCAAUACAGCUAAAACUGUGUAAUUAAAAUGGUAAAAAAAAAAAAUGAAAGCUUCUGAGUAAUUUCAUUAGUAAUAUUUUUUAUAUAACUUGUUAUUAGGAUUUUAGAGAUUAUAUAUAUAUAUAUAAAAAAGUUGCAGCAGAAUCUUAGAUCCAAGUAGCUAAAACUGUGUAAUUGGAGUGGGUAAAAAAAAAGGAAACUUCUGGUUAAUUUCAUUAUUAAUAUUUUUUAUAUAACUUGUUAUUAGGAUUUUAGAGAUUUUUUAUAUAUAAAAAAAGAAGAAGUUGCAGCAGAAUCUUAGAUCCAAACAUCUAAAACUGUGUAAUUGGAGUGGUAAAAAAGAAAGAAAGCUUCUGAUUAAUUUCAUUAGUAAUAUUAUUUUUAUAUAACUUGUUAUUAGGAUUUUAGAGAUUUUUUAUAUAUAUAAAAAAAAGAAGUUGCAGCAGAAUCUUAGAUCCAAGCAGCUAAAACUGUGUAAUUGGAGUGGUAAAAAAAAGAAAGCUUCUGAUUAAUUUCAUUAGUAAUACUUUUUUAUAUAACCUGUUAUUAGGAUUUUAGAGAUUUUUUAUAUAAAAAAAGAAGUUGCAGCAAAAUUUUAGAUCCAAGCAGCUAAAACUGUGAAAUUGGAGUGGUAAAAAAAAAAAAGAAGCUUCUGAUUAAUUUCAUUAGUAAUAUUUUUUAUACAAUAAUAUAAAUUAUAUCUUAAAUUAUCAUCAAUGUCUUACAUUUUUUUUUAUUAAACUAGUUAUUUGAUAUGACAUUAAAAUUUUAUUAGCUAAAUUAUUAUUUAAAUUUUUUUUAAUUUACUUAAGCUUUUGAAUUGAAUUUAUUCUUUAACAACUGUUAUUAUAAAAUAAGUUUAUUUUUCUCAAGUUUUUUUGUCUAGAUUUAUUAGAAUUUCGUCAAAAAAAGACCAGAAUAUAUAACUUUUUAGGAACCAGUUAUUUAACGAUAUUAAGUAUGAAAACACUUAAUUUUUGCAUUUUAUUCUCCAAGUUCUAGUUGGAUUUUCUCAGAAAGACCAGGAUUUUAGAGAUUUUCAAUGAAGAAAAUUUAUAGCACACGCAAUCCUAAAUCAAGAGAAACAGUGAAGCCUUUAUAGUUGAAGUGGUCAGAAGAAAAGGGCCACACCGUUUAUUCCAAUGGCAUUAGUAAUCGCUCUAAGACUUAUUGCUAAUAAUUUCUCUUCUUUGAACACCCCUUUCUUCACGUUAAUAUUGGAAAACUUGACAAUUGAUCAGACUUACAAUUUUCUAAUGCUUUACUUUUACUUCAUUAAUUUAUUCAUUUGAUACGUACGCGGAUAGUUGGAGACUCGUAUUUUAUUCCAACGGCAAUACCCAGCAUAAAUAGAGAAGAGGGCUUGUGCCCUAAAUCAUGCAAUGUCUUAAAAAACAGUAUCUUCACAUCAUGGAUUUUCAACUACCGUAUUGUUUUAUCUUCCUUCUUCUUCUGCUGCUGCCAUUUUCUAGCAAUGGUCAGGCUCACAGCAACAUAUCUUUGGGCUUAUCUCUCACUGCUGCAAGUGAUAACCUUCCUUGGACUUCACCAUCUGGGGAAUUUGCUUUUGGAUUCCAGCAAGUUGGUGAUGCUGGCUACCUACUUGCCAUAUGGUUCAACAAAAUACCCGAAAGAACCAUAGUCUGGUCAGCUAAUAGAAAUGAUCUAGUUCAGGGGGGAUCAAGAGUACAACUUACGGCAGAUG